Heterocephalus glaber (naked mole-rat) is the source of this 760-nucleotide long non-coding RNA. NCBI's taxonomy places the organism in Eukaryota, Metazoa, Chordata, Mammalia, Rodentia, Bathyergidae. The record is from Ensembl.
CACACAUCAAGAAAAACUACUGGGCAGCCCAGGGCUUUUCCUGGUCAAAGAGCUGGAUUCUUUCACGCAAGGCAUUCCUAGGACUGCUCAGCUUGCCCGAAGUGGAGAUGCAAAUGGGUGAGAGAGGAGAAGAACACAGCAGUUAGCGAGACCAAGGGAAUAUUCACACUGGAAACACUGUCUGCCACACACUCCCGUCAACGUGCCUUCUGGGUGCCUGGCUUCAUUUCUGCAAAGCUAUAGCAUGUGGACCAAGCAGACAGAGGCAUGGGCCACCCACUCUCAGAGAUGUGGGAAAAUGAAUCGGAAUAACAAGAGAAAAUGAUUCCAAACAGAAGAGGAAAGUGACGAUGUGAUGAAAAGGAAAAGAGAUUGGGAUUUGAUGGAGAGUCACAAAGUCACAAUGAUGCGCUCUUUUUUAAUGGAUGAGGAAACUGGAGCUCAGGGUUUGAGUCACUGACCUAAGUGAUCACCAACUGCUGUGGCUCAGAGUGCCCUGCCGGAGGACCAAAAUAAUGAGUCCAAAUGGAUCUGCCUGACCUUGAACUGGAGCCUCCAAAAUUCUGAGCAUAAAUAAAAUGUUUUUCUCUAUAAGUUGCUUACGUCAGAGAUUUCUUUAUGGUGAUGGAAAGCAGACUAAUACAUCACCAGAGAAUGGUCAAUGGAUUGGUGAUACCCUGAUAAACAAUACUCAGUUUGUUCAAUACUGCAUCCUCAGCUCUUAACGUAGCAUUUGGUAGAUAGCAACCUCUAAUACAUC